AUUGAACGCUGGCGGCAGGCCUAACACAUGCAAGUCGAGCGGAUGAAGGGAGCUUGCUCCUGGAUUCAGCGGCGGACGGGUGAGUAAUGCCUAGGAAUCUGCCUGGUAGUGGGGGAUAACGUCCGGAAACGGGCGCUAAUACCGCAUACGUCCUGAGGGAGAAAGUGGGGGAUCUUCGGACCUCACGCUAUCAGAUGAGCCUAGGUCGGAUUAGCUAGUUGGUGGGGUAAAGGCCUACCAAGGCGACGAUCCGUAACUGGUCUGAGAGGAUGAUCAGUCACACUGGAACUGAGACACGGUCCAGACUCCUACGGGAGGCAGCAGUGGGGAAUAUUGGGCAAUGGGCGAAAGCCUGAUCCAGCCAUGCCGCGUGUGUGAAGAAGGUCUUCGGAUUGUAAAGCACUUUAAGUUGGGAGGAAGGGCAGUAAGUUAAUACCUUGCUGUUUUGACGUCACCAACAGAAUAAGCACCGGCUAACUUCGUG
Molecule: ribosomal RNA, 484 nt
Filed under: uncultured bacterium
Lineage: Bacteria
Description: partial 16S ribosomal RNA
Rfam family: Bacterial small subunit ribosomal RNA
Source: RNAcentral